GGGAGAGGUGAGGGCGAUAAGAGAUGAGAGAUACAUGUGGGCUAUGAUUAUGGUUUACUGCUAAUUUUGUGCUCUAGAAUUUCACAAAGUGAGGGGAGCAAAUAAACUCUAAAUAUUUUGUGCACUCGCUUGAAUGCAUGAUCUAAGUUGGCAUCACUAAGUUUAAUUUUUCACUAAUAUUAUGUGGGUUGAAUUCAUCUAAUUCAACUCAUAAAUUCAAAAUUAGAAGGUAAGUAGUCUAGUCCCCUUAGGUUUUUGAGUUUUGCUUUUCUUUUUUCCUCUUUCAAGAUCCAAAUUAAUGUAGUUGAUUCAUUAGGGCUUUCAAUGUAGUGAGCUGGAUCUUGCUCUCUCUCUCUCUCUCU
RNAcentral lists this unclassified non-coding RNA (362 nucleotides) under Hevea brasiliensis (rubber tree). Lineage: Eukaryota; Viridiplantae; Streptophyta; Magnoliopsida; Malpighiales; Euphorbiaceae. The record is from RNAcentral.